This 274-nucleotide ribosomal RNA is filed under the name uncultured bacterium. RNAcentral's name for it is "partial 16S ribosomal RNA". It matches the Rfam family "Bacterial small subunit ribosomal RNA", at positions 523 to 796 of the family's 1533-position model. The record is from RNAcentral.
AUACGGAGGUUGCAAGCGUUAAUCGGAAUUACUGGGCGUAAAGCGCGCGUAGGCGGCUGAUUAAGUCGGAUGUGAAAUCCCUGGGCUCAACCUAGGAACUGCAUCCGAUACUGGUCAGCUAGAGUUUUGGAGAGGUAAGUGGAAUUUCCGGUGCAGCGGUGAAAUGCAUAGAGAUCGGAAGGAACACCAGUGGCGAAGGCGACUUACUGGCCAAAAACUGACGCUGAGGUGCGAAAGCGUGGGUAGCGAACAGGAUUAGAUACCCUAGUAGUCC